RNAcentral lists this ribosomal RNA (497 nucleotides) under uncultured bacterium. RNAcentral describes it as "partial 16S ribosomal RNA". It matches the Rfam family "Bacterial small subunit ribosomal RNA", at positions 28 to 507 of the family's 1533-position model. The record is from RNAcentral.
GAUGAACGCUGGCGGCGUGCCUAAUACAUGCAAGUCGAGCGAUCAGACGAGGAGCUUGCUCCUCUGACGUUAGCGGCGGACGGGUGAGUAACACGUGGAUAACCUACCUAUAAGACUGGGAUAACUUCGGGAAACCGGAGCUAAUACCGGAUAAUAUAUUGAACCGCAUGGUUCAAUAGUGAAAGACGGUUUUGCUGUCACUUAUAGAUGGAUCCGCGCCGCAUUAGCUAGUUGGUAAGGUAACGGCUUACCAAGGCGACGAUGCGUAGCCGACCUGAGAGGGUGAUCGGCCACACUGGAACUGAGACACGGUCCAGACUCCUACGGGAGGCAGCAGUAGGGAAUCUUCCGCAAUGGGCGAAAGCCUGACGGAGCAACGCCGCGUGAGUGAUGAAGGUCUUCGGAUCGUAAAACUCUGUUAUUAGGGAAGAACAAAUGUGUAAGUAACUAUGCACGCCUUGACGGUACCUAAUCAGAAAGCCACGGCUAACUACGUG